Molecule: long non-coding RNA, 651 nt
Filed under: Musa acuminata (dwarf banana)
Lineage: Eukaryota; Viridiplantae; Streptophyta; Magnoliopsida; Zingiberales; Musaceae
Description: long non-coding RNA (MACU_LNC009774)
Source: RNAcentral
AAAAAAGAGAAGGAAAGAAGGGAAAAGGGGACGUGGCCUAGACCCCGGGAAGAUCCGUGCAGUCAUCGAAAGGAACUUCCUCGGGCAUCUUGACGUUGUCAUCCUCGAGAAGACAUGAGAAGGGGUCCACGUCAAAGUGCAGGUUGGGAAAUCGAGCCCAAAUCUGAGACACCGCGACUCGAUACCCAUACUUAUAUGAGACCUGCCCCGACCUUUGUAGUUCGAGCUGAAACCCGCGGGACUCCUUGUAUUCCUCGAUCACCUUUUUGUUCUUUGCAGUAGCCGCUCGGGUUUCCUCCGACAGAGCCUCCUAGGCCUUUUUCGCCUACUGCAAGCCUCUCUUAGGCUCCGGGACAGGUCCAGCAGUUCGCCCUCCAUCAAAGAAACUCGCCCGCGAGACUCCUUCAACUGCCCCCGAAGGUCCAUCUGCUGUUACCCGGCGCCCUCAAGCUCCGACUUCAGCUGUGCAACCUCUCCCUCCAGGUCGGCGGCCUCGGGCUACCACCACCACCUCUGGGGCCGCUCUCGCUUUCAACUCUUCAAUCUGGCCGUGGAGCUCGGCGUUCCGAUCCCCCAGACUGCUAAUGAUCUGUCCAGCGUCCUGAAUACGAUCCACUAGCGCUGUGUAGUAAUGCAGGUUCUGAAUGAAGA